GCAGCAGGCGCGAAACUUACCCAAUUAUUUAUAUAGAGGUAGUUAUGACACAUCAUAUAUUAUAUGAUUAUGACUUGUAAAAGAAGUCUUAUAAACUGGAGGGCAAGUCUGGUGCCAGCAGCCGCGGUAAUUCCAGCUCCAGUAGUGCAUAUACAUGCUGUAGUUAGAAAGUUUGUAGCCGCGUAAGUAGAAAUGUGAGGAAAUGAGGACUUUUAAGGUUUUACUUUUACUCAGGUUAACGCUUACGAUAGAAGCGGAUGGAGGCGAUUGUAUUCAGCAGCGAGAGGUAAAAUUUGAUGACCUGUUGAGGACAACCGGAAGCGAAAGCGAUUGCCUAGUACGCGUUUUGUGGUCAAGAACGUUAGCCGGAGGAUCGAAGAUGAUUAGAUACCGUUGUAGUUCCGGCCGUAAACUAUGCCGACUUGCCUUGUACAUGUAUGGGGGAUAGAGAAAUUAAGAGUUUUUGGGCUCUAGGGAUAGUAAUCCGGCAACGGACAAACUUAAAGGAAUUGACGG
This 516-nucleotide ribosomal RNA is filed under the name uncultured Microsporidia. Its description in RNAcentral is "partial 16S ribosomal RNA". It matches the Rfam family "Microsporidia small subunit ribosomal RNA", at positions 284 to 793 of the family's 1311-position model. Lineage: Eukaryota; Fungi; Microsporidia. The record is from RNAcentral.